UCCCUCUUACAGUUGAUUCCACUGAGAGUAAGGUUUAAGUAUUACCUAUUAGCACUCUCUUCUUCUCCUUCUUAUAAUAGUAUUCUUCCCCUCCCCCUCCCAUACAACUUUUUGUAGUAUAAAUUAUCCUAUUUUUCUUAUUCCUUCAAGUUUUUCUUGGUGCCAUCUUCCAUUCCCCCCUUUCUUUUUUUAUGUAUCAUCUUAAAUAACUUAGUACCACAACCACCACCUAUAAAUAAUUCUUCUAACUAAGAUGACAGUGAAUACAGUUUUUGAAAGUUACAAAUAUCAUUUUUCCAUAUAGGAGUAUAAACAAUUGACCUUACUAAAGCCCUUAAAAGAAAAAAAAAUUCCCCUCUCUCUCUUGUUCAGGGGUUAUUGCCAGAGCUUGGGUAUGAUGAUGGUCUUUAGAGGAAGGAGGUCAAUGAUGGUCUUGGGGAAAAGUUUCUGCUCAGCCUUAAUGGACCUGGAUUUACUAGUCAUUCUUCCUAAUGGGUGUGAAGAAAGUCCAUCACCUCCCCUUCCACCUUAGGAAUGCUCUCUAAUCCUUCCCUCUGUCUCAACUAGCCCAUACCUCAAGGAGCAGUAGACCCUCUCUAGGGCAGCUCAGUCUACCAGGGCUACUCACACACUGGCAUAACCUAAGGCCACCCACUAUCUGGGGCACCCUGAAGAUGAGGGAAGUGGGGUGGGGUCAUAUACAGGAAGGUCUGAUUGGUUUCCCACAUCUGAUGUCACAGGUAUGGAAAUGCCAGGGAUUGGCCAACAGAGACCUCUAGGAGCAAGGGCAAUGAAGUCUGCAGCAUGGAAGUCUAGCUGCUAGGGAUUACAUAAAGGAGGCAGGGAAGGAGGAAGGGGUAUGUUUAGAUCAGAUUCAGCCCAUUGCAAGUGAUCUGAUGGAUCUCAAAGAUACUGCCCACAUCCUAAAACAGAGGAAUGAUGACCAGGAUGAUUGAGAAAGAGCUGGAAAGACCUACUUUGAACUGAUGGAGUGUGAAAUAAGCAGAACCACGAAAACAUUGUACACACUAACAGUAAUAUUGUGGAAUGAUUAAAUAUGAUAGACUUAGCUACUAACAGCAAUAAGAUGAUCCAGAAAAAUUCCUAUGGAUUUAUCAAAAAGAAAAAAAUCUCCAGAGAAAGAACUGUUGGAGUAGAAUGCAGUACUAGAUCCAGAAUACUGCCAUCUGCUGUUCCUGUCUAAAAUGUACAAAGACAUCAGGAAUUCAAGCUUGGUGGACCCUGCCAAUCAUGAGAACAGAGCUAUAUAAAUGGUGAUGCAUCUAUACCAUUUUACAAAUUUGUUGUUGUCCUUUCAGUUUUAUCAAUAAAUACUCUCUGACUAAUAUUGCUUAGUUGAAUACUUCAUCAAACCCUCCAUAAAACUCAUUUUCCUCUUCCUCUGUUUUUAGGUGUUUUUCACAAGGUGAUUAUUAUUCAUAUUCUUCUAUUACCUUUGUAAUGUUUUUAAAAAUGAGCUUUUACAUUAAGCUGACAGCUUCUUUGCCCAUUGGCAACUAUAGACCCUUUCUAUGCCCUCUAAAAUUUCUGUGAAAAUGGUUUUUGACUCAGUUCUGUAUGGGGAAAAUUGAGACCUUGAAAUUUCCCUGUAGUAAAGUGCUUUUUGCAUAUACACACUGAAAUUCUACAAAUUUUCCUUUUGAUACACUAUAUUAGAAUGGAGAAAGGAAGGUCAUAGCAGUAAAGAUGGUUUCCUAACUUUCCCUUUUGUAUGUGAAAACUGCUAUCAGAUAUGUGUUUAUAAUGUUUUACCAGUUUUCCUUUGCUGGGAUUUGGGGAAAUGACUGGUAGGAAGGUAAAAUAUUCUCUGUUCCUUGCACGCCCAGAGCUACACUUUGAAAUCAUGGAGCACUGAAAGUACUAUUACUGGUUAAGGGGUUAAAGGAGGAAAGAAGGAAAAGGAGAAAGAGACCGAUACCCACACAAGUAUCAUGGAACUGUUACUAUUGACAAAAAGUUGCCCUCAUGGCCUAGGCUGGGCUCUGAGAAACUUUACCAGAAACUUUUCCUAGUAGCCUAUUCCUCUGUGCAUGAGUUCAAAGCAGCUACAUGUCAAAACAAGGA
This is a non-coding RNA of Monodelphis domestica (gray short-tailed opossum), 2085 nucleotides long. The record is from RefSeq and is a predicted model, not a curated record. NCBI's taxonomy places the organism in Eukaryota, Metazoa, Chordata, Mammalia, Didelphimorphia, Didelphidae.